UACGGGGGGGGCAAGCGUUGUUCGGAAUUACUGGGCGUAAAGGGUUUGUAGGUGGCCGGCUAAGUCAGACGUGAAAUCCCUCAGCUUAACUGGGGAACUGCGUCUGGGACUGGUCGGCUUGAGGGUCGGAGAGGAACGCGGAAUUCCAGGUGUAGCGGUGAAAUGCGUAGAUAUCUGGAGGAACACCGGUGGCGAAGGCGGCGUUCUGGACGGCAUCUGACACUGAGAAACGAAAGCCAGGGGAGCAAACGGG
This 253-nucleotide ribosomal RNA is filed under the name uncultured bacterium. Its description in RNAcentral is "partial 16S ribosomal RNA". It matches the Rfam family "Bacterial small subunit ribosomal RNA", at positions 524 to 776 of the family's 1533-position model. The record is from RNAcentral.